RNAcentral lists this long non-coding RNA (1116 nucleotides) under Oryctolagus cuniculus (rabbit). RNAcentral describes it as "lncRNA (ENSOCUG00000036542.1)". Lineage: Eukaryota; Metazoa; Chordata; Mammalia; Lagomorpha; Leporidae. The record is from RNAcentral.
AUGUGGAGCAAGGGCUCUCGGGAGCUGAUGGGCAAGUGGGCUCAGCCAGCACACACCAAGGGGGCGGCAGUUUUCCUGGAGGGUCCUCCCGAACCAUUUCCCACCAUGGAUCUGCACAUAGGGCAGGCCCUUCUCCCACCCACUCUCCCCUCUUUCCUGCCCCAGGCUUCCUGGACUUACAGUAAUGCCCAGGCAGACAGAGGAGAACACCUUGCAGUCCUGCUCGGAGCUGGGAGUGGCAGCCAUGGGUCAAACUGCAAUUUCAGGCAUCAAGAUGGGAGAGACUCCUCCUGGCACCCUCUCCCACCCUGCCCCUCCAGGAAGGCAAGCUCCCCAAUACAACCCCCUGUCCUCCUGGUCCACUCAGGCCCCUACUUUGGCCUCUCAGCCAAGCCCAGCUUCCAGCUCCCCGAGCACCAAGCAGUCCCAGGGAGCCAGCCUGCAGAAACAGGAGAGCACACAACGCAAACCCGCACUCCCAAGCCCUCCUGUGGGGCAGGAGAGCCAGGAUCAUCUCCCUCCACCCCUCUGCAAUCCCAUGUAGGGAGCACCGGUGUGACCAUUUUACAGAUGGAGAAAGUGAGGGGGAAAGAGGAGACGCACAGGCGCAGGUCCCCGCAGGAAGCAGCGGCCCUGCAGCUGUCAGCUGGCGGCCCUCCACAGUCAUACUUCUCACUGCCAAUUCCCAGGUCGCCCCUCCCCUCCACCCCAGCACACCCCCCCCCAGCCUUCACCCCACCCGUGGGUCGGGGAGACGGACCCUCCACCCUCACGGCCCCGACUCUGCCCUUCCCGGCACCUCUGCGGCUCACUCCUCACAGGUGCAUUUACAGACCUGGCUCGUGGGGGGAAGGAUGCUCAGAGCAAGUGGAGGGGGUGAGCCCGCCAGCUUCUGCUUUUCUUGCUUUGGGGGAACCACUUCCCUUAUUCCCCAGUUCCGAUGUCCAACCACAGCAGGGGCGAGGGGCGGAGGCAGGCGAGGGGGAGAGCGGGCAGGAGGAGGAGGCGGUGCCGGGCCUCCCCAGCUGCGUCCCAUCUGCCCCGGGCAGGCGGCCAGGCAAGGUAAGAGAAACCCGCUGCCCCGCCAGGAGCCGGCUCAGUGGCUUUGAAGCGUGA